UACGUAGGGGGCAAGCGUUAUCCGGAUUUACCGGGUGUAAAGGGAGCGUAGACGGUAAUGUAAGUCUGAUGUGAAAGCCCGGGGCUCAACCCCGGGACUGCAUUGGAAACUAUGUAACUAGAGUACCGGAGAGGUAAGCGGAAUUCCUAGUGUAGCGGUGAAAUGCGUAGAUAUUAGGAGGAACACCAGUGGCGAAGGCGGCUUACUGGACGGAAACUGACGUUGAGGCUCGAAAGCGUGGGGAGCAAACAGG
This 253-nucleotide ribosomal RNA is filed under the name uncultured bacterium. RNAcentral describes it as "partial 16S ribosomal RNA". It matches the Rfam family "Bacterial small subunit ribosomal RNA", at positions 524 to 776 of the family's 1533-position model. The record is from RNAcentral.